CAGUAGCCACGGUAAUACGUAGGUGGCAAGCGUUGUCCGGAUUUAUUGGGCGUAAAGCGAGCGCAGGCGGUUAGAUAAGUCUGAAGUUAAAGGCUGUGACUUAACCAUAGUACGCUUUGGAAACUGUUUAACUUGAGUGCAAGAGGGGAGAGUGGAAUUCCAUGUGUAGCGGUGAAAUGCGUAGAUAUAUGGAGGAACACCGGUGGCGAAAGCGGCUCUCUGGCUUGUAACUGACGCUGAGGCUCGAAAGCGUGGGGCGCAAACAGGAUUAGAUACCCCAGUAGUCCCUGUCUCUUAUACA
RNAcentral lists this ribosomal RNA (301 nucleotides) under uncultured bacterium. Its description in RNAcentral is "partial 16S ribosomal RNA". It matches the Rfam family "Bacterial small subunit ribosomal RNA", at positions 509 to 808 of the family's 1533-position model. The record is from RNAcentral.